AACGCAUAUUGCGCUCUUUGGUAUUCCGAAGAGCAUGCUUGUUUGAGUAUCAGUAAACACCUCAAAGCUUUUGGAUUUUUUUUUUGAAAGCUUUGGACUUGAGCAAUCCCAACACCAAUCUUUUUUUAAGAUCGGUGGCGGGUUGCUUGAAAUGCAGGUGCAGCUGGACAUUCUCCUGAGCUAAAAGCAUAUUCAUUUAGUCCCGUCAAACGGAUUAUUACUUUUGCUGCAGCUAACAUAAAGGGAGUUUGACCGUAUUGGCUGACUGAUGCAGGAUUUCACAAGGGUCGGCAACGAUUCUUGUUAAACUCGAUCUCAAAUCAAGUAAGACUACCCGCUGAACUUAA
Molecule: unclassified non-coding RNA, 347 nt
Filed under: uncultured Mortierella
Lineage: Eukaryota; Fungi; Mortierellomycota; Mortierellomycetes; Mortierellales; Mortierellaceae
Description: sequence contains ITS2
Source: RNAcentral